This 253-nucleotide ribosomal RNA is filed under the name uncultured bacterium. RNAcentral describes it as "partial 16S ribosomal RNA". It matches the Rfam family "Bacterial small subunit ribosomal RNA", at positions 524 to 776 of the family's 1533-position model. The record is from RNAcentral.
UACGUAGGGCGCAAGCGUUGUCCGGAAUUAUUGGGCGUAAAGAGCUCGUAGGCGGCCUGUUACGUCUGCUGUGAAAUCCCGGGGCUUAACCCCGGGCGUGCAGUGGAUACGGGCAGGCUGGAGGCAGGCAGGGGAGAACGGAAUUCCCGGUGUAGCGGUGAAAUGCGCAGAUAUCGGGAGGAACACCGGUGGCGAAGGCGGUUCUCUGGGCAUUACCUGACGCUGAGGAGCGAAAGUGUGGGGAGCGAACAGG